GUGUUCACUUCAGCAACACAUAUUUCAAAAUUGGAAUGAUACAGAGAUUACCAUAGUCCCUGCUCAAAGACAACACUCAAAUUAGCAAAGCAAUCUAUAUUUUG
Molecule: small nuclear RNA, 104 nt
Organism: Dromiciops gliroides (monito del monte)
Lineage: Eukaryota; Metazoa; Chordata; Mammalia; Microbiotheria; Microbiotheriidae
Source: RefSeq, a predicted model, not a curated record